RNAcentral lists this transfer RNA (89 nucleotides) under Hungatella hathewayi. RNAcentral describes it as "tRNA-Tyr". It matches the Rfam family "tRNA". Rfam says of the family: Transfer RNA (tRNA) molecules are approximately 80 nucleotides in length. The record is from RNAcentral. Lineage: Bacteria; Bacillati; Bacillota; Clostridia; Lachnospirales; Lachnospiraceae.
UAGGUGGAUGAGCCGAGUUGGCCGAUGGCGGCGGACUGUAAAUCCGUUUCCCACAUGGGACGCGCAGGUUCGAAUCCUGCUCCACCUAU